Molecule: ribosomal RNA, 468 nt
Filed under: uncultured bacterium
Lineage: Bacteria
Description: partial 16S ribosomal RNA
Rfam family: Bacterial small subunit ribosomal RNA
Source: RNAcentral
GACGAACGCUGGCGGCGUGCUUAACACAUGCAAGUCGAACGGACAGACCCUGCUCUUGUUGGUCGCUCGAGUGGCGAACGGGUGAGUAACACGCGUGUAUCCUGUCCCUGUCUUAGGGAUAUCACCAGGAAACUGGGGCUAAUAUCGGAUAUGAGCUCUUGCUGCAUGUGGGGGGUUGGUAAGAUUCGGCGGUGGGGGAUGGUCUCGCUGCUUAUGAGCUUGAUGGUCGGGUAGUGGCUUACCAAGGCUUCGACGGGUAGCCGGCCUGAGAGGGCGACCGGGGACCAUGGGACUGAGAGAGGGAGCAGUAGGGUACGGGAGGCAGCGGUGGGGAGUAUUGCGGAGUGGGGGGGAGCGUGAUGCAGCGGCGCCGCGUGCGGGAAGACGGCCUUCGGGUUGUGAACCGAUGUGGCCUGUGCCGUGGCGUGAGUGACGGUAAUGGGUAAGGAAGCCCCGGCUAACUACGUG